Molecule: non-coding RNA, 82 nt
Organism: Geopyxis carbonaria
Lineage: Eukaryota; Fungi; Ascomycota; Pezizomycetes; Pezizales; Tarzettaceae
Source: the annotation of a GenBank genome assembly
GUGGUCAUAGUAUAGUGGUAAGUACGAGUCGUUGUGGCUUCGCAGCUCCGACUAGACCCAGGUCCGAUUCCUGGUGACCACA